Molecule: ribosomal RNA, 481 nt
Filed under: uncultured bacterium
Lineage: Bacteria
Description: bacterial SSU rRNA
Rfam family: Bacterial small subunit ribosomal RNA
Source: RNAcentral
UGCGAACUCCUACGGGAGGCAGCAGUGGGGAAUAUUGCGCAAUGGGGGGAACCCUGACGCAGCCAUGCCGCGUGAAUGAAGAAGGCCUUCGGGUUGUAAAGUUCUUUCGGUAUUGAGGAAGGUUGAUGUGUUAAUAGUACAUCAAAUUGACGUUAAAUACAGAAGAAGCACCGGCUAACUCCGUGCCAGCAGCCGCGGUAAUACGGAGGGUGCGAGCGUUAAUCGGAAUAACUGGGCGUAAAGGGCACGCAGGCGGUUAUUUAAGUGAGGUGUGAAAGCCCCGGGCUUAACCUGGGAAUUGCAUUUCAGACUGGGUAACUAGAGUACUUUAGGGAGGGGUAGAAUUCCACGUGUAGCGGUGAAAUGCGUAGAGAUGUGGAGGAAUACCGAAGGCGAAGGCAGCCCCUUGGGAAUGUACUGACGCUCAUGUGCGAAAGCGUGGGGAGCAAACAGGAUUAGAUACCCUUGUAGUCCAGAAGUG